UAGGGAAUCUUCGGCAAUGGACGGAAGUCUGACCGAGCAACGCCGCGUGAGUGAAGAAGGUUUUCGGAUCGUAAAGCUCUGUUGUUAGAGAAGAACGUUGGUAGGAGUGGAAAAUCUACCAAGUGACGGUAACUAACCAGAAAGGGACGGCUAACUACGUGCCAGCAGCCGCGGUAAUACGUAGGUCCCGAGCGUUAAUCGGAUUUACUGGGCGUAAAGCGUGCGUAGGCGGCUUCUUAAGUCGGAUGUGAAAUCCCUGAGCUUAACUUAGGAAUUGCAUUCGAUACUGGGAAGCUAGAGUAUGGGAGAGGAUGGUAGAAUUCCAGGUGUAGCGGUGAAAUGCGUAGAGAUCUGGAGGAAUACCGAUGGCGAAGGCAGCCAUCUGGCCUAAUACUGACGCUGAGGUACGAAAGCAUGGGGAGCAAACAGG
Molecule: ribosomal RNA, 430 nt
Filed under: Bacillota bacterium
Lineage: Bacteria; Bacillati; Bacillota
Description: Firmicutes bacterium partial 16S ribosomal RNA
Rfam family: Bacterial small subunit ribosomal RNA
Source: RNAcentral